CGUCUUUAAACCCUGCGUGGCAAUCCCUGACGCACCGCCGUGAUGCCCAGGGAAGACAGGGCGACCUGGAAGUCCAACUACUUCCUUAAGAUCAUCCAACUAUUGGAUGAUUAUCCGAAAUGUUUCAUCGUGGGAGCAGACAAUGUGGGCUCCAAGCAGAUGCAGCAGAUCCGCAUGUCCCUUCGCGGGAAGGCCGUGGUGCUGAUGGGCAAGAACACCAUGAUGCGCAAGGCCAUCCGAGGGCACCUGGAAAACAACCCAGCUCUGGAGAAACUGCUGCCUCAUAUCCGGGGGAAUGUGGGCUUUGUGUUCACCAAGGAGGACCUCACUGAGAUCAGGGACAUGUUGCUGGCCAAUAAGGUGCCAGCUGCUGCCCGUGCUGGUGCCAUUGCCCCAUGUGAAGUCACUGUGCCAGCCCAGAACACUGGUCUCGGGCCCGAGAAGACCUCCUUUUUCCAGGCUUUAGGUAUCACCACUAAAAUCUCCAGGGGCACCAUUGAAAUCCUGGUGAGUGGACCUGGUUUGCCUGUGCUAGACAGGCAAAUGGGGAGCUGCUUUUAGUGGCCAUGGAUCUGCUGGUUGUCCAACAGGUGUUUACUGCCCCACUAUUAUCUUG
This 616-nucleotide small RNA is filed under the name Pongo abelii (Sumatran orangutan). RNAcentral describes it as "processed transcript". Lineage: Eukaryota; Metazoa; Chordata; Mammalia; Primates; Hominidae. The record is from RNAcentral.